GAACGCACCUUGCGCCCUUUGGCUAUUCCAAAGGGCAUGCCUGUUCGAGCGUCAUUCAAACCUUCAAGCUCUGCUUGGUGUUGGGCGUCUGUCCUGCCUCACGGCGCGGACUCGCCUCAAAUCUAUUGGCGGCCGGCACGUUGGCUUCGAGCGCAGCAGAAACGCGAACUCGGGCCCGACGGAUCGGCUCCCAGAAGCUACCCCCAUGAAUUUGACCUCGGAUCAGGUAGGGAUACCCGCUGAACUUAAG
RNAcentral lists this unclassified non-coding RNA (250 nucleotides) under uncultured Dothideomycetes. Its description in RNAcentral is "sequence contains 5.8S rRNA gene". Lineage: Eukaryota; Fungi; Ascomycota; Dothideomycetes. The record is from RNAcentral.